The submitters of this non-coding RNA (78 nucleotides) gave its source as unclassified sequences. The record is from Rfam.
AGGCAGGGCAAGGCCCAGUCCCGUGCAAGCCGGGACCGCCCCUUCGGAAGAGGGGGCGCGGCGCUCAUUCCUGCGAAA